GUGCUGCUGAUGGUGAUGAUGAUGAUGAGGCUACCGGUUCUGAAGCCGGUAGUGAGGAGGGUUAUGAGUCCGUGGAGGGCUAAGUUAUUUUUAUUUUUUAUUUUAUGUUUUAUUUCUACUGUAUUUCCAGAAUUCUGUAUUUUGAUUUUGGCUUUGUACUUUUGGGGUGUUUUGUCCCCCAUGAACAAAUUUAAAUUUUGAGUUAAUAUUAUUAUUUAUGUUUUAAAUUUUGUGUGUUUUAAUAAAUUUUUGGUUGGUUAAGUGGCAAACCUUCUAGAUUGGUUGCUCCUCAAAGAAGUAUCCAAUGAAGGUGCAUCCGAGCUUGGAUGGCAAUGAUAAGAAUAAACAAG
RNAcentral lists this long non-coding RNA (350 nucleotides) under Lathyrus oleraceus (garden pea). RNAcentral describes it as "Pisum sativum (pea) long non-coding RNA (PSAT_LNC019433)". Lineage: Eukaryota; Viridiplantae; Streptophyta; Magnoliopsida; Fabales; Fabaceae. The record is from RNAcentral.